GUAAUUUAGUAUCUUGUGAAGAGUUGUUUUAUUGGCAAUCAUACCACAUCUUCUUUUUUUUACUUCCUGCUGACAGGUAUCAUAAUGUGUCCCACUUGGCUGACGAUGUCUUUCUGUGGAAGAUUAAGCAUGUAUUUUUCUACAAUGACCUCCUCCCCUACUGGCAACUUUAUGCUAAAGAAAAGAAAGAUGUUACUACAUAAGACUGGUUGACUUUAGCUGUAUUUUUUCUCUUCUUAUAAUAACUUCCUUUUUUAUGUUUUACAGAUAGAAGAAACAAAUGCAGGACAUCAUUCGAAAG
RNAcentral lists this long non-coding RNA (301 nucleotides) under Mytilus galloprovincialis (Mediterranean mussel). Lineage: Eukaryota; Metazoa; Mollusca; Bivalvia; Mytilida; Mytilidae. The record is from RNAcentral.